This is a transfer RNA of Phanerochaete carnosa HHB-10118-sp, 109 nucleotides long. It matches the Rfam family "tRNA". Rfam says of the family: Transfer RNA (tRNA) molecules are approximately 80 nucleotides in length. Their secondary structure includes four short double-helical elements and three loops (D, anti-codon, and T loops). NCBI's taxonomy places the organism in Eukaryota, Fungi, Basidiomycota, Agaricomycetes, Polyporales, Phanerochaetaceae. The record is from Rfam.
GCCCGCCUAGCUCAAUCGGAUAGAGCGUCAGACUCUUAUGAGCGCGGGACCAUAUUCACCUUGCUAAAAGAUGAUCUGAAGGCUGCGAGUUCGACCCUCGCGGUGGGCU